ACCCUGAUCCAGCAAUGCCGCGUGUGUGAAGAAGGCCUUCGGGUUGUAAAGCACUUUUGUCCGGAAAGAAAACCGCUUCUCUAAUACAGGGGCGGGAUGACGGUACCGGAAGAAUAAGCACCGGCUAACUACGUGCCAGCAGCCGCGGUAAUACGUAGGGUGCAAGCGUUAAUCGGAAUUACUGGGCGUAAAGCGUGCGCAGGCGGUUCGCUAAGACCGAUGUGAAAUCCCCGGGCUUAACCUGGGAACUGCAUUGGUGACUGGCGGGCUAGAGUAUGGCAGAGGGGGGUAGAAUUCCACGUGUAGCAGUGAAAUGCGUAGAGAUGUGGAGGAAUACCGAUGGCGAAGGCAGCCCCCUGGGCCAAUACUGACGCUCAUGCACGAAAGCGUGGGGAGCAAACAGGAUUAGAUACCCUGGUAGUCCACGCCCUAAACGAUGUCAACUAGUUGUCGGGUCUUCAUUGACUUGGUAACGAAGCUAACGCGUGAAGUUGACCGCCUGGGGAGUACGGUCGCAAGAUUAAAACUCAAAGGAAUUGACGGGGACCCGCACAAGCGGUGGAUGAUGUGGAUUAAUUCGAUGCAACGCGAAAAACCUUACCUACCCUUGACAUGUACGGAAUCCUGCUGAGA
This 633-nucleotide ribosomal RNA is filed under the name Burkholderia sp. IBa370. Its description in RNAcentral is "bacterial SSU rRNA". It matches the Rfam family "Bacterial small subunit ribosomal RNA", at positions 380 to 1006 of the family's 1533-position model. Lineage: Bacteria; Pseudomonadati; Pseudomonadota; Betaproteobacteria; Burkholderiales; Burkholderiaceae. The record is from RNAcentral.